AAGUCGUAACAAGGUUUCCGUAGGUGAACCUGCGGAAGGAUCAUUAUCGAGUUUUGAAAGUAGGACUUGAUGCUGGUGCGGAAACGUACAUGUGCUCAGUCUUACGCUCAUUCCACUCAACCCCUGUGCACUUAUCGAAGUUAGUAGUCGUUCCUCCUUUAUUGGAGCCGUCGAGAGUCGCGAGUAAUCAUUAGAGAGUCUUUAUUGACUUUUGAAGGUGGAAGCGUCGCUUUGACUGGGAGCGGUGAAACCUUUGACUUUAUUAUAAACCUUUAUUUGUCUUGUAGAAUGUAAUGCUCCUAGUGGGCGAAAUUAAAUAUAA
Molecule: unclassified non-coding RNA, 322 nt
Filed under: plant metagenome
Description: partial contains small subunit ribosomal RNA and internal transcribed spacer 1
Rfam family: Eukaryotic small subunit ribosomal RNA (bases 1-46)
Source: RNAcentral